GCCACCACACCUCAGAGGUUAGAGCUCUGGUCUCGUAAACAAGGGGUCGCGAGUUCGAAUCUCGCUGGUGGCU
Araneus ventricosus is the source of this 73-nucleotide non-coding RNA. The record is from the annotation of a GenBank genome assembly. Lineage: Eukaryota; Metazoa; Arthropoda; Arachnida; Araneae; Araneidae.